Molecule: long non-coding RNA, 1213 nt
Filed under: Cricetulus griseus (Chinese hamster)
Lineage: Eukaryota; Metazoa; Chordata; Mammalia; Rodentia; Cricetidae
Description: lncRNA (ENSCGRG00015042237.1)
Source: RNAcentral
UCAGAACCUUGUUAUUCUAGACUCUGGAGUUUGGGAGGCACGCUCUUCCUCCUCUUCCUCACUGACAGAUAAGAUGUGUGUGUGUUCUCCUGGAUAGAAUCUGCCUGGCUCGUGAUUCAAGUUAAGCAGACUACAAAGUUACUCUCCUACAAAGAGUUCAGCUCAGUGUUUGGCCAUGAAUAUUUGCUUCUGCUUCCAUCAGCUACUGGAUGAAGGCUCUGGGACAGCAUUUAAGAAGCCUAAGAAGACUAAGAGAACCAUUUGGAGUAUAAACAGAGAGUAACCUAUCAAGACUGAAGAAAGAAGAGAGAAUUUUUGGAUGGAGGCAUUUAGGAAAAAAGAGUCUAAUAGUCUGAUAUGCUUGUAGGUAGUGACCAAGCCGUCUAUAACAUUGCUCCUCAACUCCCUUUCCUUAGAUCAUAUACUUUAGAAAGCUUGCUGUUUUGUUUGCUGUAGGUUCUUUCUCUGUGCUCUUUGAAAAAGAAAUCUUUUAGAGUUUUACAACCCAGAAAUAUCUUCUCAAAAGGAGCUAUCUCUUUGAAAAUAUACUCAUCAAGAAAACUCUGGGGACGAUAAGGAGCCUAACUGUUCUAAGUACCAAUUAGCAAACACAGAUGGUCUAAUUGCACUGACCAAUUUUCCUCUAUCAUUCUUAUUAUCUUAGUUACAGUUUUUAUUGCUGUGAAGAGACAUCAUGACCACCGAAACUCUUACAAAGUAAAACAUCUAAUUGAGGGGGCUCCAUUACAGUUCCAGAGAUUCAGUGCAUUAUCAGUUUGGUGGGGAGCAUGGUGGCUCGCAGGCAGACAUGGUGCUGGAGCUGAGAGCACUGUAUCUUGCAGGCAACAGGAAGUUGACUGAUUGUUACACUGAGGGAAGCUUGAGAAAAGAGACCUCAAAGCCAACUCCACAGUUACACACUUCCUCCAAUAAGGCCACACCUCCUUAUAGUGCCACUCCCUUUGGGUCCAUUUUAUUUCAAACCACCACACUUGUCUGAAUGUAUCAGUUGAUUGAAUGACUCCAGGGCUUAAAAUCUCUACUGUUUUUGCAUUCGAGGAGGUGAUAACCCACUGUUAAAAGAAUUUGCUGAAUUUCCUUCCUUGCCUUUUUUACUUCUGUGCAACUUUUCUUUGACAGCUUGAAACAGCAUCAUGAGGAAUAAUCGCUCUAUUGGAAAGUUUGGGCAGAAUUAAUGACAAUGAAACAGAAA